RNAcentral lists this long non-coding RNA (415 nucleotides) under Theobroma cacao (cacao). RNAcentral's name for it is "long non-coding RNA (TCAC_LNC000112)". The record is from RNAcentral. Lineage: Eukaryota; Viridiplantae; Streptophyta; Magnoliopsida; Malvales; Malvaceae.
UUGCUUUGAUUUUAUCUAUGAGACCUGUGUUAUGGGAUUGUUUUUGCCAGGGUGGUUAUUGCCUUCUUUUUCAAUAGGGAUCUGGGUAAGACAAUGGAGAGAUAUGGUGGCUGAGCAUUUUUGGUUUCGUCGAGGUGAGGUUUCUUCCAAAGGUUGCAGCUGUGUCGUGGUUCUCCCUAUUUGAUUACAGUGGUGUCGUGAGCUCUUAGCAAGGAUGAUACAAUCUGGAAGUUUUUUCUUGGUAGCAGGGUCGCAAAUCUAAUUCUACGCCGUCUUUAGGAUAUGUUCUCUCCGCUGGAUUUAGAUUCCUAGUGUUGUUUUCGAUGGCUAGGGGUACGGAAAUUGCUGUUUUAAGGACUAUGGUGUUUGUAUCAUGCGUUUUCCUCCUUAUCCUGAGCAGUUCCUCUUAUAUAAA